GGGUUGUGAGGUUAAGCGACUAAGCGUACACGGUGGAUGCCCUGGCAGUCAGAGGCGAUGAAGGACGUGCUAAUCUGCGAAAAGCGUCGGUAAGGUGAUAUGAACCGUUAUAACCGGCGAUGUCCGAAUGGGGAAACCCAGUGUGAUUCGUCACACUAUCGUUAACUGAAUACAUAGGUUAACGAGGCGAACCGGGGGAACUGAAACAUCUAAGUACCCCGAGGAAAAGAAAUCAACCGAGAUUCCCCCAGUAGCGGCGAGCGAACGGGGAGCAGCCCAGAGUCUGAAUCAGCUUGUGUGUUAGUGGAACGGUCUGGAAAGUCCGACGGUACAGGGUGAUAGUCCCGUACACCAAAAUGCACAGGCUGUGAACUCGAAGAGUAGGGCGGGACACGUGGUAUCCUGUCUGAAUAUGGGGGGACCAUCCUCCAAGGCUAAAUACUCCUGACUGACCGAUAGUGAACCAGUACCGUGAGGGAAAGGCGAAAAGAACCCCGGCGAGGGGAGUGAAAAAGAACCUGAAACCGUGUACGUACAAGCAGUGGGAGCACCUUCGGGUGUGACUGCGUACCUUUUGUAUAAUGGGUCAGCGACUUAUAUUCUGUAGCAAGGUUAACCGUAUAGGGGAGCCGCAGGGAAACCGAGUCUUAACUGGGCGUUAAGUUGCAGGGUAUAGACCCGAAACCCGGUGAUCUAGCCAUGGGCAGGUUGAAGGUUGGGUAACACUAACUGGAGGACCGAACCGACUAAUGUUGAAAAAUUAGCGGAUGACUUGUGGCUGGGGGUGAAAGGCCAAUCAAACCGGGAGAUAGCUGGUUCUCCCCGAAAGCUAUUUAGGUAGCGCCUCGUGAACUCAUCUUCGGGGGUAGAGCACUGUUUCGGCUAGGGGGUCAUCCCGACUUACCAACCCGAUGCAAACUACGAAUACCGAAGAAUGUUAUCACGGGAGACACACGGCGGGUGCUAACGUCCGUCGUGAAGAGGGAAACAACCCAGACCGCCAGCUAAGGUCCCAAAGUCAUGGUUAAGUGGGAAACGAUGUGGGAAGGCACAGACAGCCAGGAUGUUGGCUUAGAAGCAGCCAUCAUUUAAAGAAAGCGUAAUAGCUCACUGGUCGAGUCGGCCUGCGCGGAAGAUGUAACGGGGCUAAACCAUGCACCGAAGCUGCGGCAGCGACACUAUGUGUUGUUGGGUAGGGGAGCGUUCUGUAAGCCUGCGAAGGUGUGCUGUGAGGCAUGCUGGAGGUAUCAGAAGUGCGAAUGCUGACAUAAGUAACGAUAAAGCGGGUGAAAAGCCCGCUCGCCGGAAGACCAAGGGUUCCUGUCCAACGUUAAUCGGGGCAGGGUGAGUCGACCCCUAAGGCGAGGCCGAAAGGCGUAGUCGAUGGGAAACAGGUUAAUAUUCCUGUACUUGGUGUUACUGCGAAGGGGGGACGGAGAAGGCUAUGUUAGCCGGGCGACGGUUGUCCCGGUUUAAGCAUGUAGGCUGAUUGUCCAGGCAAAUCCGGAUAAUCAAGGCUGAGGUGUGAUGACGAGGCACUACGGUGCUGAAGUAACAAAUGCCCUGCUUCCAGGAAAAGCCUCUAAGCAUCAGGUAACAUCAAAUCGUACCCCAAACCGACACAGGUGGUCAGGUAGAGAAUACCAAGGCGCUUGAGAGAACUCGGGUGAAGGAACUAGGCAAAAUGGUGCCGUAACUUCGGGAGAAGGCACGCUGGUGUGUAGGUGAAGUCCCUGCGGAUGGAGCUGAGACCAGUCGAAGAUACCAGCUGGCUGCAACUGUUUAUUAAAAACACAGCACUGUGCAAACACGAAAGUGGACGUAUACGGUGUGACGCCUGCCCGGUGCCGGAAGGUUAAUUGAUGGGGUUAUCCGUAAGGAGAAGCUCUUGAUCGAAGCCCCGGUAAACGGCGGCCGUAACUAUAACGGUCCUAAGGUAGCGAAAUUCCUUGUCGGGUAAGUUCCGACCUGCACGAAUGGCGUAAUGAUGGCCAGGCUGUCUCCACCCGAGACUCAGUGAAAUUGAACUCGCUGUGAAGAUGCAGUGUACCCGCGGCAAGACGGAAAGACCCCGUGAACCUUUACUAUAGCUUGACACUGAACAUUGAGCCUUGAUGUGUAGGAUAGGUGGGAGGCUUUGAAGCGUGGACGCCAGUCUGCGUGGAGCCAACCUUGAAAUACCACCCUUUAAUGUUUGAUGUUCUAACGUUGGCCCCUGACCGGGGUUGCGGACAGUGUCUGGUGGGUAGUUUGACUGGGGCGGUCUCCUCCCAAAGCGUAACGGAGGAGCACGAAGGUUAGCUAAUCCUGGUCGGACAUCAGGAGGUUAGUGCAAUGGCAUAAGCUAGCUUGACUGCGAGCGUGACGGCGCGAGCAGGUGCGAAAGCAGGUCAUAGUGAUCCGGUGGUUCUGAAUGGAAGGGCCAUCGCUCAACGGAUAAAAGGUACUCCGGGGAUAACAGGCUGAUACCGCCCAAGAGUUCAUAUCGACGGCGGUGUUUGGCACCUCGAUGUCGGCUCAUCACAUCCUGGGGCUGAAGUAGGUCCCAAGGGUAUGGCUGUUCGCCAUUUAAAGUGGUACGCGAGCUGGGUUUAGAACGUCGUGAGACAGUUCGGUCCCUAUCUGCCGUGGGCGCUGGAGAAUUGAGGGGGGCUGCUCCUAGUACGAGAGGACCGGAGUGGACGCAUCACUGGUGUUCGGGUUGUCAUGCCAAUGGCACUGCCCGGUAGCUAAAUGCGGAAGAGAUAAGUGCUGAAAGCAUCUAAGCACGAAACUUGCCCCGAGAUGAGUUCUCCCCUGAGACUUUAAGUCUCCUGAAGGAACGUUAAAGACGAUGACGUUGAUAGGCCGGGUGUGUAAGCGCAGCGAUGCGUUGAGCUAACCGGUACUAAUGAACCGUGAGGCUUAACCUUACAACGCCGAAG
Molecule: ribosomal RNA, 2924 nt
Filed under: Klebsiella pneumoniae
Lineage: Bacteria; Pseudomonadati; Pseudomonadota; Gammaproteobacteria; Enterobacterales; Enterobacteriaceae
Description: 23S ribosomal RNA
Rfam family: Bacterial large subunit ribosomal RNA
Source: RNAcentral